CCCACGUCCUCAGUAGUAUCAAUUGGAGGGCAGUCUGGUGCCAGCAGCCGCGGUAAUUCCAGCUCCAAUAGCGUAUAUUAAAAUUGUUGCAGUUAAAAAGCUCGUAGUUGAAUUUCUGCUGCAUUGCUUUUGCUCCUUUACGAGUCUUUGCAUUGUGGCUUAUUUCGGACUUUGUUUUACAAUGUCCGGAUGUUUACUUUGAGAAAAUUAGAGUGCUCAAAGCAGGCUUUCGCCUUGAAUAGUUUAGCAUGGAAUAAUAAAGUAGGACUUUGGUUCUAUUUUGUUGGUUUUAGGUACCAAAGUAAUGGUUAAUAGGAACAGUUGGGGGCAUUCGUAUUUAACUGUCAGAGGUGAAAUUCUUAGAUUUGUUAAAGACGAACUACUGCGAAAGCAUUUGCCAAGGAUGUUUUCAUUAAUCAAGAACGAAAGUUAGGGGAUCGAAGACGAUCAGAUACCGUCGUAGUCCUAACCAUAAACUAA
Molecule: ribosomal RNA, 480 nt
Filed under: Theileria ovis
Lineage: Eukaryota; Apicomplexa; Aconoidasida; Piroplasmida; Theileriidae
Description: SSU rRNA
Rfam family: Eukaryotic small subunit ribosomal RNA
Source: RNAcentral